This 301-nucleotide ribosomal RNA is filed under the name uncultured bacterium. RNAcentral describes it as "partial 16S ribosomal RNA". It matches the Rfam family "Archaeal small subunit ribosomal RNA", at positions 459 to 760 of the family's 1478-position model. The record is from RNAcentral.
CAGCAGCCGCGGUAAAACCAGCACCUCGAGUGGUCAGGAGGUUUAUUGGGCCUAAAGCAUCCGUAGCCGGUUGCAUAAGUUUUCGGUUAAAUCUAUGCGCUUAACGUAUAGGCCGCCGAAAAUACUGUGCAGCUAGGGAGUGGGAGAGGUACACGGUACUCGAUAGGAAGGGGUAAAAUCCUUUGAUCUAUUGAUGACCACCUGUGGCGAAGGCGGUGUACCAGAGCACGUUCGACGGUGAGGGAUGAAAGCUGGGGGAGCAAACCGGAUUAGAUACCCCUGUAGUCCCUGUCUCUUAUAC